Molecule: ribosomal RNA, 801 nt
Filed under: uncultured Rubrobacter sp.
Lineage: Bacteria; Bacillati; Actinomycetota; Rubrobacteria; Rubrobacterales; Rubrobacteraceae
Description: bacterial SSU rRNA
Rfam family: Bacterial small subunit ribosomal RNA
Source: RNAcentral
AGAGUUUGAUCCUGGCUCAGGACGAACGCUGACGGUGUGCUUUAGGCAUGCAAGUCGAACGAGAAAGCCCUUCGGGGUGAGUAAAGUGGCGAACGGGUGAGUAACACGUGGGCAACCUGCCCCUCGCAGGGGGACAACCGGAGGAAACUCCGGCUAAUACCCCGUACGCUUGUUGGAUCGCAUGGUCCGGCAAGGAAAGGUAGCUUCGGCCAUCCGGCGAGGGAUGGGCCCGCGUUGCAUUAGCUAGUUGGUGGGGUAACGGCCUACCAAGGCGACGAUGCGUAGCUGGUCUGAGAGGAUGAUCAGCCACACUGGGACUGAGACACGGCCCAGACUCCUACGGGAGGCAGCAGCCAGGAAUCUUGGGCAAUGGGCGAAAGCCUGACCCAGCAACACCGUGUGGGCGAUGAAGGCCUUAGGGUCGUAAAGCCCUGUUGAUAGGGACGAAGGGCGAAGGGUUAAUAGCCCCUAGCUUGACGGUACCUUUCGAGGAAGCCCCGGCUAACUACGUGCCAGCAGCCGCGGUAAUACGUAGGGGGCGAGCGUUGUCCGGAAUUAUUGGGCGUAAAGAGCGUGUAGGCGGUUCGGUAAGUCUGCUGUGAAAUCCUGGGGCUCAACCCUGGGCGUGCAGCGGAUACUGCCGGGCUAGAGGGUGGUAGAGGCGAGUGGAAUUCCGAGUGUAGCGGUGAAAUGCGCAGAUAUUCGGAGGAACACCAGUAGCGAAGGCGGCUCGCUGGGCCACACCUGACGCUGAGACGCGAAAGCGUGGGGAGCGAACAGGAUUAGAUACCCUGGUAGUCC